Xyrauchen texanus (razorback sucker) is the source of this 811-nucleotide long non-coding RNA. RefSeq lists it as uncharacterized. The record is from RefSeq and is a predicted model, not a curated record. The transcript is spliced from 4 exons. NCBI's taxonomy places the organism in Eukaryota, Metazoa, Chordata, Actinopteri, Cypriniformes, Catostomidae.
CUCAAGGUCACCACGGCAGCGGAUUAUGAAGGACAAGAGCUGGUAAAGCAGCCUUGGAUGUCAGUGAAAGGUGCGCCAGCCCGUCUCCCGUCUUCACCUGGCCUGACAGCUCCCCACGUUCUCAGACCCUUUUGGACAAUUUCGACACCGUGCCCAUCUGGUUCUGAUUAAGUCCCAACUGGCAUGCAUCGCAUCCGAAGACGAAAGAUGGUGAGAGAGAGAGAGAGAGAGAGAGGAGGAGGAGAGAAAAAAGACAGCAAGGUGAGAACGAGGCAGAAAGUGAGAUGGUGAAGUACUGCAAGCGGAUGCCAACAGCCGAGAGAUCCGUAACAUCAGCGUCAUCAUUGAAACGCACUAUUGUGACAUCAAAGGCCCAGCCGUGGCCAAAAGACAUUAUCUGGACAUGCUGUGGUGUCAUAUUAGGAGUUCAUGUCUCCUCUCGUCUGUGACAGCUGCAGAGCUUGCUAUGAAGAGCUGCUUCCUGACACAAGAGCCACAAAGGAAAAAGGCAGCAACGGUCACAAAUACCACAGCACUGCACCACGACAAGUCAUAUAUCCGCACACUACAACACAUGCUAUUCACCACACACACUGCAGACCAGGCUCUGCCACUGUUACUGAGCUGUAUGAAGACAGGAUGGAUGGAUGAAAGCCAAACAGAGAUUGCUAGCAGAAUGCAAGAUGGUGAAUGCUUGCAGACCUCAAAACCUAAUUUACUUCAGUAGUUUUAUAUCAUACUAAUGUUCUUUAGGAUAAUAGGGAUCUGGUAUGUAUAACAUGACUUUGGAAUCUCAUUAAAAUUACGUAAC